AAGAAGUGUUACCGGUGCUGGACCAUGUAUAAGUCUCCUGGAAUGGAGUGUCGCAGAGGGUGAGAAUCCCGUGUUUGACAUGGACCGCCAGCGCGUUGUGGUACGCUCUCAAAGAGUCGAGUUGUUUGGGAAUGCAGCUCUAAAUGGGUGGUAAACUCCAUCUAAAGCUAAAUAUUGGCGAGAGACCGAUAGCGAACAAGUACCGUGAGGGAAAGAUGAAAAGGACUUUGGAAAGAGAGUUAAACAGUAUGUGAAAUUGUUGAAAGGGAAACGCUUGAAGUCAGUUAUGUCGGGUAGGGAUCAGCCUGGCAGAUUGCUGGGUGAAUUGCCUAGUCUGGCAGGCCAACGUCAGUUUCGACUGGUAGAAAAGAGCAUAGGGAAUGUGGCACCCUUGGGUGUGUUAUAGCCUUGUGUCAUAUGUGGCAGUCGGGACUGAGGAACGCAGCGCGCCGAUCCGGCAGGGUUUCGACCACGUUCGCGCUUAGGAUGUUGGCAUUUAAUGGCUUCAAUCGACCCGUCUUGAAACACGGACCAAGGAGUCUAACAUGGGUGCGAGUGUUUGGGUGGUUAAAACCCUUUGCGCGCAACGAAACGUGAAAAUUUGAGAUCCCCUGUCGGCGGGGGAGCAUCCGACGCCCCAGACCUUGAGGCUUUUCAACCGAGGGGAUCUUGCCGGUAC
RNAcentral lists this ribosomal RNA (679 nucleotides) under Amanita sp. G3267. RNAcentral's name for it is "eukaryotic LSU rRNA". It matches the Rfam family "Eukaryotic large subunit ribosomal RNA", at positions 151 to 801 of the family's 3401-position model. Lineage: Eukaryota; Fungi; Basidiomycota; Agaricomycetes; Agaricales; Amanitaceae. The record is from RNAcentral.